RNAcentral lists this ribosomal RNA (300 nucleotides) under uncultured bacterium. RNAcentral's name for it is "bacterial SSU rRNA". It matches the Rfam family "Bacterial small subunit ribosomal RNA", at positions 775 to 1067 of the family's 1533-position model. The record is from RNAcentral.
GGAUUAGAUACCCUGGUAGUCCUAGCUGUAAACGAUGGAUACUAGACGUAGGAACUGGAUUGACGGUUUCUGUGUCGUAGCUAACGCGUUAAGUAUCCCGCCUGGGGAGUACGACCGCAAGGUUAAAACUCAAAUGAAUUGACGGGGACCCGCACAAGCAGUGGAGCAUGUGGUUUAAUUCGAAGAUACGCGCAGAACCUUACCAACGCUUGACAUGUUCGUCGCGAGACUAAGAGAUUAGUUUCUUCAGUUCGGCUGGACGAAACACAGGUGCUGCAUGGCUGUCGUCAGCUCGUGCCG